This 1292-nucleotide unclassified non-coding RNA is filed under the name Yarrowia lipolytica. The record is from RNAcentral. Lineage: Eukaryota; Fungi; Ascomycota; Dipodascomycetes; Dipodascales.
UUUACUCUGAGCCAUUCUGGAGACGGAAGGUGCCUUUUAUAGCCUGCUGAGAUGCAGAGCUGACAAGCAGACCUGUCUCACCAGACAGUUGACCUGAUCUGUCUACAGCGAGGACGUUUCCAUUUUUUUUUGCCGUCCGAUUGAGUUGUUUUUGGGCAAUGUGAUGAAAUUCCAGAAUCCCAAGAGUCGGUUAAGAAAGGCAAUGACGCGUUUAUCGCAUGAGCCCAGUGCGACAGCUCCUGAUUGAGCGUUUGAGCUGAGAAAUCGGCGAGUUCUUUGCAGAAGCGAGUACAACCGCCUGAGCCAAGUGUCUUAAGUCCGUAACCUUUUGUGUCCGGUUGACCGCCAUGUGCUGAAAAAGUGCCGUGAGCAAAGAGCGAGUGAUUGUGCUGACUGACAAAUGUCAGAACCACCUUCGUGCCUUGUGAGUUCUUUAGAACCGCAUUUGCAGCCGCCAGAGCAAAGUGCCAGAGCCAUUGAGCCCGAGCCACCGACUGAGAGGACUCAAGGGUGCAAUUCCUUUUGAGAGGACCAUCAUUCUCACAGGCGAAACUCCUGUUCGAGAUACUCAUACUCACGGGGUGAAACUCCUUUGUGAAAGUCUCAUAGGGUGCAAUUCCUGUAUGAGAAAGCCGCCUAGAACUGAAGAGCCAAGCUGAAAUGCAAGAGCCACUACAGCAGAAAAGCUGAAACUAGAGCAAAGAUCUGCCAGACAGACGCCAUACAUGGUCAAAAGAGCAAUAGAUGCCUGAGUCAGAGCCUGUGAGUCCCGCAGAGGCAUAAGUGCCAAAUCCAGAGCCACUCAAGAGCCAGAGCUGUUACGCCAGUCACUAGAGCUGAAAUGCCAGAGUCAGAGCGAAUGCCAGAGCCGCCAGAGCCGCCAAAGAGCAAAGCCACUAAGUCCGAAGAGCAAUAGGAGCGAAGACGAGGGCAAAGAGCCAGAGAGCAAUAAGUGCCAUACGAGAGCACCAAAGCCACUAAGUCCUUAACGGCAAUAAGAGCACGGUCGCUGAGCAUUGCCAAUGAGUCCACAGAUGCAAUAAGUGCAAAACGCCAGAAAUAAACCAAAGGAGCCAGGGCCCAAGAGCCGAGGCCAGCCAGUAGCCGAUAAGUCCAAAGAGCGAUAAGAGCCGGAGCAUGAGCUGAAGUCAUACUGAAGGAGUAGGCAGUGAACCUCUUGGCAGAGGAUGUAACUGACCGAACCUGUUAUCUAGUUAGAGAGGAGUAGGUGAAAUUCCGAACCUCUUGGGUUAAUAAUAAAUCUUGGACCAUUGAGUUCCACCCGAUUUUCC